CUACGGGGUGCAGCAGUGGGGAAUAUUGCACAAUGGGCGAAAGCCUGAUGCAGCGACGCCGCGUGAGCGAUGAAGUAUUUCGGUAUGUAAAGCUCCAUCAGCAGGGAAGAAAAAAUGACGGUACCUGACUAAGAAGCUCCGGCUAAAUACGUGCCAGCAGCCGCGGUAAUACGUAUGGAGCAAGCGUUAUCCGGAUUUACUGGGUGUAAGGGGAGCGUAGGCGGUCUUAUAAGUCUGAUGUGAAAGCCCGGGGCUCAACCUCGGGACUGCAUUGGAAACUGUAGGACUAGAGUGUCGGAGGGGUAAGUGGAAUUCCUAGUGUAGCGGUGAAAUGCGUAGAUAUUAGGAGGAACACCAGUGGCGAAGGCGGCUUACUGGACGAUUACUGACGCUGAGGCUCGAAAGCGUGGGGAGCAAACAGGAUUAGAUACCCCUGUAGUC
Molecule: ribosomal RNA, 441 nt
Filed under: uncultured bacterium
Lineage: Bacteria
Description: partial 16S ribosomal RNA
Rfam family: Bacterial small subunit ribosomal RNA
Source: RNAcentral